Non-coding RNA from Chloroflexi bacterium 13_1_40CM_55_7, 46 nucleotides. NCBI's taxonomy places the organism in Bacteria, Bacillati, Chloroflexota. The record is from Rfam.
CCCAGGGCUUACGCCCUGGGCUAAACUCUUCCGCCCCUUCGGGGCU